UGGCGGACGGGUGAGUAACGCGUAAAGAACUUGCCCUUUAGACUGGGAUAACAGAGGGAAACUUCUGAUAAUACUGGAUAAGUUAGUAUAUCGCAUGAUAUGCAAAUGAAAGCUACGGCACUAAAGGAGAGCUUUGCGUCCUAUUAGCUAGUUGGUAAGGUAAGAGCUUACCAAGGCGAUGAUAGAUAGCCGGCCUGAGAGGGUGGACGGCCACAAGGGGACUGAGAUACGGCCCUUACUCCUACGGGAGGCAGCAGGU
This 259-nucleotide ribosomal RNA is filed under the name uncultured Leptotrichia sp. RNAcentral's name for it is "partial 16S ribosomal RNA". It matches the Rfam family "Bacterial small subunit ribosomal RNA", at positions 96 to 354 of the family's 1533-position model. Lineage: Bacteria; Fusobacteriati; Fusobacteriota; Fusobacteriia; Fusobacteriales; Leptotrichiaceae. The record is from RNAcentral.